AUUGAACGCUGGCGGCAUGCCUUACACAUGCAAGUCGAACGGUAACGGGCCUUCGGGUGCCGACGAGUGGCGAACGGGGGAGUAAUACAUCGGAACGUGCCCGAUCGUGGGGGAUAACGAGGCGAAAGCUUUGCUAAUACCGCAUACGAUCUACGGAUGAAAGCAGGGGACCGCAAGGCCUUGCGCGGACGGGGCGGCCGAUGGCAGAUUAGGUAGUUGGUGGGAUAAAAGCUUACCAAGCCGACGAUCUGUAGCUGGUCUGAGAGGUGAUCAGCCACACUGGGACUGAGACACGGCCCAGACUCCUACGGGAGGCAGCAGUGGGGAAUUUUGGACAAUGGGCGCAAGCCUGAUCCAGCCAUGCCGCGUGCAGGAUGAAGGCCUUCGGGUUGUAAACUGCUUUUGUACGGAACGAAAAGCCUUCUUUUAAUACAGGAGGGUCAUGACGGUACCGUAAGAAUAAGCACCGGCUAACUACGUG
This 481-nucleotide ribosomal RNA is filed under the name uncultured bacterium. RNAcentral's name for it is "partial 16S ribosomal RNA". It matches the Rfam family "Bacterial small subunit ribosomal RNA", at positions 30 to 507 of the family's 1533-position model. The record is from RNAcentral.